Molecule: ribosomal RNA, 425 nt
Filed under: uncultured bacterium
Lineage: Bacteria
Description: bacterial SSU rRNA
Rfam family: Bacterial small subunit ribosomal RNA
Source: RNAcentral
GGGGAAUAUUGCGCAAUGGGCGAAAGCCUGACGCAGCGACGCCGCGUGAGGGAUGAAGGUUUUCGGAUCGUAAACCUCUGUCAGAAGGGAAGAAACUACGUUGUGCUAAUCAGCAGCGUACUGACGGUACCUUCAAAGGAAGCACCGGCUAACUCCGUGCCAGCAGCCGCGGUAAUACGGAGGGUGCAAGCGUUAAUCGGAAUUACUGGGCGUAAAGCGCACGUAGGCUGUAGUGUAAGUCAGGGGUGAAAUCCCACGGCUCAACCGUGGAACUGCCUUUGAUACUGCACAACUUGAAUCCGGGAGAGGGUGGCGGAAUUCCAGGUGUAGGAGUGAAAUCCGUAGAUAUCUGGAGGAACAUCAGUGGCGAAGGCGGCCACCUGGACCGGUAUUGACGCUGAGGGGCGAAAGCGUGGGGAGCAAAC